UUUCCUAGGGUUUCUAUCUCCAGCUUUGCCUCUCCUUGGGUUUUCUUCAUUGUGUUCACUUCCCUUUUUUGGUCUAGUAUGGUUUUGUUCAUUUCCAUCACCUGUUUGGAUGUGUUUUCCUCUUUUUCUUUCAGGACUUGUAACUCUUUAGCAGUGUUCUCCUGUAUUUCUUUAAGUGAGUUAUAAAAGUCCUUCUUGAUGUCCUCUACCAUCAUCAUGAGAUAUGCUUUUAAAUCUGGGUCUAGCUUUUCGGGUGUGUUGUGGUGCCCAGGACUGGGCGAGGUUAGAGUGCUGGGUUCUAAAGAUGGUGAGUGGUCUUGGUUUCUGUUAGUAAGAUUCUUACGUUUGCCUUUCGCCAUCUGGUAGUCUCUGGAGUUAGUUGUUAUAGUUGUCUCUGGUUGGAGAUUGUUCCUCUCGAGAUUCUUUUAUCCUCUAUCAGCAGACCUGGGAGACUAAUUCUCUCCUCUGAGUUUCAGUGGUCAUAGCGCUCUCUGCAGGCAAGCUCUCCUCUUACAGGGAAGGUGCACAGAUAUCUGGCAUUCAGACCUCCUUCUUGGCAGAAGAUGAAGGCCGGAAACAGGACUUGUUCCAGAAGCUGUGUUGCUUCUGUAGUUCACACUCUCAUCUGCACAGACUAGUCUCAGAGGGAUCCGGGAACCAAGAUGGCUCCCCCAGGUGCUCCAGCAAAGCCCUCCAGGGCAGGGCAGACACCUCUCCUCUGUCAGGGAAGGUGUCCAGAUGUCUGGAGCCCAAAACGGGGUCCUUUCUCAGAGUCUGUCUUCUAGGGACCUUGGGGGUGUCUGCCAACUCUGCGCCCAGGUGACCAAGUCCUGGCACCUACUGGAAGGGACUUGUGACCCUGGUCAGGCCGGGUUUCCUGCUUCUCUAAUGUUUUCUCAGGUCCCAGGCGAUUGGAUCGGAACAGAAGUUGUGUUCCACUCACCAGUGGUCCUAAGAUUGUGUGGAGAGUCCUCUAGGGGAUCUUGGGGGUGUUCACCGACUCCGUGCCCAAGGUGACCUGGACUAUCCUUCAGCUUCUUGCAAGAGGCUAACACCACAGAAAGUCUUGUAAAUGAUCACAGAAAUGAACUACUGGGUUGGCUAUCACCUGUUGGUGUUGCAUCUCGAGCAUGAAGGCCUCAAAGUUGAUCCUGUGGGAUGGCAUGGCCCAAGGAGCAAAUAAUCCCUUGAACUGAGGCUACAAGGAUCAUGUCAGUUCAAGCUGAAUCGUGGACUACCUCAGCCCACAUAUGCCACAUCCUGCUCCUUGUAGCAUUGAUCUUCCCAGACUGAUAACUGCUGAAAUCCAGGUCACGGCUCACCUCACCAAACUCAAAGCAAGGAGUGAGGAGAGGGAGACUCUAGACAGCCACUGGACUACAACCAUCGGCUCUGAAAUAAUGAGAAACUAUUGUAAGCAGACAGAUGCCUUGAUGUCUCUGAGAAGUUGCAAAAGAGACAGCUGUCUAUGAAGAUAGAAGCUAGACCGCCUGUCAAGCUGACAUGGAAUGAAGAGCUACAGUUCCAUCUUCAUUACAUCCUGAAAUUGAGCUCCAUCUUCAAAUUGAUGCCUCAGAAUCCAUAGGAGCCAUCAAGCAAAGAAAUACACCCUGACAGGUUGUCAUGGCCUCCGCAUAUGUGAAGUUGCCUGUGCACUAAAGGUUAUCAGUC
Molecule: long non-coding RNA, 1671 nt
Filed under: Mus musculus (house mouse)
Lineage: Eukaryota; Metazoa; Chordata; Mammalia; Rodentia; Muridae
Description: RIKEN cDNA 1700110I01 gene
Source: RNAcentral